AGUGAACGCUGGCGGUAGGCCUAACACAUGCAAGUCGAACGGCAGCACAGUAAGAGCUUGCUCUUACGGGUGGCGAGUGGCGGACGGGUGAGGAAUACAUCGGAAUCUACUUUUUCGUGGGGGAUAACGUAGGGAAACGUACGCUAAUACCGCAUACGACCUACUGGUGAAAGCAGGGGAUCUUCGGACCUUGCGCGAUUGAAUGAGCCGAUGUCGGAUUAGCUAGUUGGCGGGGUAAAGGCCCACCAAGGCGACGAUCCGUAGCUGGUCUGAGAGGAUGAUCAGCCACACUGGAACUGAGACACGGUCCAGACUCCUACGGGAGGCAGCAGUGGGGAAUAUUGGACAAUGGGCGCAAGCCUGAUCCAGCCAUACCGCGUGGGUGAAGAAGGCCUUCGGGUUGUAAAGCCAUUCUGUUGGGAAAGAAAAGCAGCAGGUUAAUACCCCGCUGUUCUGACGGUACCCAAAGAAUAAGCACCGGCUAACUUCGUG
RNAcentral lists this ribosomal RNA (492 nucleotides) under uncultured bacterium. RNAcentral describes it as "partial 16S ribosomal RNA". It matches the Rfam family "Bacterial small subunit ribosomal RNA", at positions 29 to 507 of the family's 1533-position model. The record is from RNAcentral.